Molecule: small nuclear RNA, 97 nt
Filed under: Dipodomys ordii (Ord's kangaroo rat)
Lineage: Eukaryota; Metazoa; Chordata; Mammalia; Rodentia; Heteromyidae
Source: RNAcentral
UUAUUCCUUUCAGCAGUACACAUUCUAAAAUUGGCCGACAACAGAGAAGGUUAACAUGGCCCUGUGUAAGGAUAACAUGCAAAAGUUAGUUAACUAU